UAUUCUGCCCAUCGGGGAAGGAUGAGAAGCUUCGACCAAGGUUCGACUCGAGCGCCAGCGAGAGAGCGUUGCCGCAGGCAACGACCCGAAGGGCGAAGCGCGCAGCGCUGAGUAAUCCUUCCCCCACCACCA
This 132-nucleotide small RNA is filed under the name Escherichia coli. Its description in RNAcentral is "RtT sRNA". It matches the Rfam family "RtT RNA". Rfam says of the family: This family represents a bacterial cis-regulatory element known as RtT RNA. The exact function of RtT is unknown although it is thought that it may be involved in changing the cellular response in relation to amino acid starvation. Lineage: Bacteria; Pseudomonadati; Pseudomonadota; Gammaproteobacteria; Enterobacterales; Enterobacteriaceae. The record is from RNAcentral.